CACGCCGUAAACGAAUGCGCGUUAGGUGUAUCGACGACCACGAGUCGUCGAGGUGCCGAAGGGAAACCGUGAAACGUGCCGCCUGGGAAGUACGGUCGCAAGGCUGAAACUUAAAGGAAUUGGCGGGGGAGCACCACAACAGGUGGAGCCUGCGGUUUAAUUGGACUCAACGCCGGAAAUCUCACCGGAUAAGACAGCAGAAUGAUUGCCCGGGCUGAAGACUCUGCAUGACUAGCUGAGAGGUGGUGCAUGGCGUCAGUGACUGU
RNAcentral lists this ribosomal RNA (266 nucleotides) under uncultured archaeon. Its description in RNAcentral is "partial 16S ribosomal RNA". It matches the Rfam family "Archaeal small subunit ribosomal RNA", at positions 747 to 1010 of the family's 1478-position model. The record is from RNAcentral.